AGCUCCAAUCUUUGGAAACUUGUGAGUUUCUAGGCAAAGAGACUGGUGCAAUAUUUGGGUUUCUUCCUAUAUAUGAGCUUGAGAAUCCAAUUGAACCGAGCAUGCCAAAAAGUCUUCAAAGGAUCAGAGCUGAGAAGUCCAGUCACAAGGGACGAGAAAAGGAUCCAGAUUCCAUUGAAGACUUGAGUAAAGACAAA
Molecule: long non-coding RNA, 197 nt
Organism: Ficedula albicollis (Collared flycatcher)
Lineage: Eukaryota; Metazoa; Chordata; Aves; Passeriformes; Muscicapidae
Exons: 3
Source: RefSeq, a predicted model, not a curated record